UACGUAGGGCGCGAGCGUUGUCCGGAAUUAUUGGGCGUAAAGAGCUCGUAGGCGGCCUGUCGCGUCAAUUGUGAAAGCCCGGGGCUCAACCCCGGGUCUGCAGUCGAUACGGGCAGGCUAGAGUUCGGUGAGGGGAGAUCGGAAUUCCUGGUGUAGCGGUGAAAUGCGCAGAUAUCAGGAGGAACACCGGUGGCGAAGGCGGCGACCUGGUCCGAUACUGACGCUGAGGCGCGAAAGCGUGGGGAGCAAACAGG
This 254-nucleotide ribosomal RNA is filed under the name uncultured bacterium. RNAcentral's name for it is "partial 16S ribosomal RNA". It matches the Rfam family "Bacterial small subunit ribosomal RNA", at positions 524 to 776 of the family's 1533-position model. The record is from RNAcentral.